UCAUCCUUAAAACUUGAGACUGAAGAUCAGCUCAGAGAUACUUCAAGGCGAGCCUAGACGCAGAACCCUCUCUUGAAUAAUUCUUAGAGAGAGAGAAGGAAGGGGAGAAAGAGAGAGAGAGGAGCCGCCUAGGGAAUGUGUGAAGUAAUAAGAGCGCAUUUAAAGGAAGGAGGAAGGUAGGGAGAGCGAGCGAGAGAGAGAAUGAUAAGGUAGGAGCAUUUAAG
RNAcentral lists this long non-coding RNA (224 nucleotides) under Eucalyptus grandis. Its description in RNAcentral is "long non-coding RNA (EGRA_LNC003544)". The record is from RNAcentral. Lineage: Eukaryota; Viridiplantae; Streptophyta; Magnoliopsida; Myrtales; Myrtaceae.